UACAGAGGUGGCAAGCGUUGUUCGGAAUUACUGGGCGUAAAGGGCGCGUAGGCGGUCGCCUAAGUCGGACGUGAAAUCCCCAGGCUUAACCUGGGAACUGCAUUCGAGACUGCAUUGCUAGAGUAUGGGAGAGGGAAGUGGAAUUUCCGGUGUAGCGGUGAAAUGCGUAGAUAUCGGAAGGAACAUCAGUGGCGAAAGCGACUUCCUGGACCAAUACUGACGCUCAUGUGCGAAAGCGUGGGGAGCAAACAGG
Molecule: ribosomal RNA, 253 nt
Filed under: uncultured bacterium
Lineage: Bacteria
Description: partial 16S ribosomal RNA
Rfam family: Bacterial small subunit ribosomal RNA
Source: RNAcentral